ACCCUCGGGGUCGGUCCCGUCCCGCCCGGGUUGGGUGGGGCUGCCGCGAGUCGGAAGAGGUGGGAUGCUGCUGCCUGGCGGUGCUGCAGUGGCGGAUCUUCAGGAGGAGGAUUUGUCCCCAGUGCCUUAUUUAGUUCACUUGGUGAGGUCAUGUUUUCCUGGAUGGUGUUGAUGCUAGUAGAUGUUCUUCAGUGUCUGGACAUUAAAAUCUUGGGCAUGCAGCACCAUAUGAGAAGUUUAAAAAAUAAAAUUUAAAGAGAGAAAAGUGGUGGGAUUGCUGAAUCAGACAGAGCCAAUAGAUGAUCAGUAAUGGUGGCCAAUCAUCAGCUAGAAAGAAAGUGCUUAGCAGGGCUUGAAAACACCAAAACUCUGAGACCACUGACCUUCAAAAACUUCAACAGCCCUGAGUGAAAAGUCCAAACACAUUUAUCUACCAUUCGAAGACGCUUUAUUGUCUGUCCUCUGCACAUCUCAGUAGUCUCUUUUUACCACACUGUCUAUAUACUGCAUGAGCCAUUUAUAUGAAACUAUCUGACACUCCAAGGCAUCUUGUACUAUAUAUUCAACUAUGUAUCCCUAGUACCUAGCACAGUCCUGGCAUAUAGUUUGCUACUAAACUUUUACAGAAUGAAGGAAUUAUCUUGUAUCCAGGUUCCAAGUUUUAAGGUGAUUCUUCAGUAAAAAAAAGUAUUACAGUUCACAAAUAAUCUACUUCCCUUUUUACAAAUGGGAUCAAUUUUAAUCUUAUCUCCUAAUAACAUUACUUUCAUUUACUCUGAUCUAAAUAUACUGUCCUAAGAGAGCAAUAAGAAAGAGAGUUGAAGCUGGAGUUUGAAGAAUUGUACAUGGUCCUGUGAUACCCUACCUUGUUUUAACCUGAGUGACUCUCUCCUAGCGGAGAGAGAGCCGGACAGACUCCAUUUUAGUUUCUUCACGUGCAGCCCCCUUUACCUUCCACCCUUAAUUGCAUAACUAGUGUAAACUGACUCAAAGCAGGUCCAGGAAUGCACUUAGUGAUAAGAUAUUGAGGCAAGCUGCACCAGCUGCUCCUGGGUACGCACUCGGUGAAUGUCACGCAAAACCCCUGCAUUUCUCUCUUUGUGAUAGUUUAAGCCCCUGCACCUGGAACUGUUUAUUUGUUUUGUAACUGCUAUUGUAACCAAUUAAUAUUUUAACUAUUUGCCAGCUCUGCUUCUGUAAAACUUGUUUCAGCUAAACUCCCCCCUCCCCUAUUUAGACCACGGUAUAAAAACAAAACCAGCCCCUUCCUCGGGGCCAAGAGAAUUUUGAGCAUUACAUGCCUCUCGGUUACCGGCUAAUAAAGGACUCCUUAAUUUGUCUCAAA
RNAcentral lists this long non-coding RNA (1345 nucleotides) under Homo sapiens (human). RNAcentral describes it as "long intergenic non-protein coding RNA 1410". The record is from RNAcentral. Lineage: Eukaryota; Metazoa; Chordata; Mammalia; Primates; Hominidae.